GCAGUCUGCAACUCGAGUGCAUGAAGCUGGAAUCGCUAGUAAUCGCGGAUCAGAAUGCCGCGGUGAAUACGUUCCCGGGUCUUGUACACACCGCCCGUCACACCAUGGGAGUCGGGAAUGCCCGAAGCCGGUGGCCCGAUCGAAAGAAGGGAGCCGUCGAAGGCAGGCCGGAUGACUGGGGUGAAGUCGUAACAAGGUAUC
Molecule: ribosomal RNA, 201 nt
Filed under: uncultured bacterium
Lineage: Bacteria
Description: partial 16S ribosomal RNA
Rfam family: Bacterial small subunit ribosomal RNA
Source: RNAcentral